This is a long non-coding RNA of Nilaparvata lugens (brown planthopper), 241 nucleotides long. RefSeq lists it as uncharacterized. The record is from RefSeq and is a predicted model, not a curated record. Lineage: Eukaryota; Metazoa; Arthropoda; Insecta; Hemiptera; Delphacidae. The transcript is spliced from 3 exons.
AUUUGAAAAAUUCAAGUGCCAAUUUUCAUUUAAGAUUUCCGAAAGGUUUAAGUACUGAGGCAGAGUCUCAUGUUUAAAAAUUGGGAUGCUCAAUUUAGAUAAAUUUGUCCACAUGUGAGGAAUUAAGUUAUUAAUAGCUGGAGAAGGAUGGGAACGGGAGUCGCAAGGAUAAAGAGUGCUUAUCAGUACGUCGCCGUUGUCGUCUUGAAGUUCGCAGUUGCAAGGGAUGUGGAGUGAUAGG